GGGAGUUUUCGUUUGGAUUCAGAACUGAUUCCGCCCUCCCUCCCCAGCAGGCGAUUGCUACUAAUUAAAUAUAAAGUUUGCCAAACAAUAAGUACUGCUUAAGUUGGCCAGGACUGUGCUCUGUGCACGGGUAAAAGGGGAAAAUCGAUUCACUUUCACCUGUUGGAGGCCAGUAAACUUGAGUUCAGUGGUUAUAUCGUCUUUUGGUGUAACAGUUGAAGUGGCCCCACGUACAUACUCCACUGGAUGCUCAAGGACUGCAGCAUUCCCUUCAAGAUUCCCUAUUCCCAUUGCCGUCGGCAAGCACGUUGGCCACUUGUGGCUUCCACAGCAACAGCCGCCGCAGCAGCAGCAGCAGCAACUUGCUGCCUUAUUAACAUUUUGCCUGACAACAAAUUACUCGUUCUGUCUAAAGCCCGAGAGAGGUGGUGGGGGGAGAGGAAGGAGAGGAAGUGGCCAAUGAGUACUCCAGCUGAUGAGUGCCACGCACUGAGGGAAAUGCUUGCUCUGCACUAAGGCUCUGAACAAGCACCCACACCCAAUAGACGCGGUGACACCACGGCUAAGCUCGGUUCCUUGGAAGACGUAGACAUUCCUUCAAAUAAUCGGUGUUUCCACACAGAGAGAUCAACCGUAUAUGUAUUGACUCACCUACUGCCGAAAGAAUAUGGAAGAUCUUGAUCGAGGGUCUCUAGUGUGAUGUUCAACAGGUUCUUCUUCUCUCUCUCUCCCUCUUAGAAGUUGUGGGAAUGUUUUAAAGUCCUGGCCUAUACAACCGCAUUCUCUCAGUGGAGAAGUUUCGCCAACUUACUGUAACCAUCCAUCCCCCCCAAAUGCAAUGGACUUAUCAAGUAACAGUUUGCAUGACUUACUGAAACAGGAACUGAACCUGGAGGAGGAGCUGUAGCUGCUGCUGAUGACGGGGACCGAUAAGCACGAUGAUGGUAAUGAUGAGGUUUGGACAAAAAUGAGCCAAGUGGACAAAAUACAAUUUCCGACUUGGAGCAAACAGCUGAGUCUGCUAAAUGCCCCAAAGUCCACCAGCCGGGCCAGUA
Long non-coding RNA from Drosophila pseudoobscura, 1055 nucleotides. RefSeq lists it as uncharacterized. The transcript is spliced from 2 exons. The record is from RefSeq and is a predicted model, not a curated record. Lineage: Eukaryota; Metazoa; Arthropoda; Insecta; Diptera; Drosophilidae.